Molecule: long non-coding RNA, 2453 nt
Organism: Tympanuchus pallidicinctus (lesser prairie-chicken)
Lineage: Eukaryota; Metazoa; Chordata; Aves; Galliformes; Phasianidae
Exons: 2
Source: RefSeq, a predicted model, not a curated record
CUCCUGGGAUUAUAUAGUUGAGAUGGAUUUUAAAACCCAAGACUGAGUUAGUUAGUACUGAGCAGUGAGUACAUCAAACAAACACCCUAGAGAAUGUGUGGAAAAAAGCAGAGCUCUGUAUUGUAUCCCUAAUGAGAAUUAGGCAGUGCUUAACAGGAACCCUUGCUUUAUGCACUAGGCUAUCCUGUUAUCUUGUACACUUAAAAUUAGUAUCAGGCCCUUUCUUUGACAGUGCUCUGAAGAACACAAAGUGCAUGGAGGAUAUUUUUGUGUGUAAAAGUUGAAAAGAUAACCGUCUGUAGAGAAUGAAAAGCCAUAUUAGAGGCUUGGGAAGCAGGCUGGAACAGAAAGUAAAAAAUCUCUACUGGGCCAGAUUUUAUCAAAAGUGGAUGUGUCUCUCACCGAGAGGUGGUGAGCUGUAUAAGAGUGUUUUGUUGAUUCUCAAUCCCAAACUUUCUCAUGUUUGAAUUAUUAACGUAGUACUGGCUGUUCAAAGAACUCGUCUUAACUGUUAAUCUAAAACUGAUAGAUAGGAAGCAGUGGUUCAGAGGAGGUGGCAGUGCUGCUCUGUUCUGCUGUAGUGAGCCUGUAAGCAGAUUAUGUUGCAGAAUAAAGAAAGGAAGUGCUUCUGUGUGGCUUCAGCUGUAUUGUUAGUGGUGAGGACUGAUAGCACAAUGUUCCUGUUCCUAUCCUUUGUUUGGGAAAAUGGAAAAUUACGCUAUUAGGGAAUAACAGGAAGCAUGUCUACACUUGGGUGAAAACUUGAAACGGUUUGUGUUUAGCAAAAUGGUAUCCAAUUAUUUUCCUGUACUUGGAGGCAUAUGACUGAGGCGCGUUUGCAAACUGCAGGCUUCAUAUUUUGUUCUUUUAUGGAGCGUGGGUUCAUCCAGCUCCAUGCCUCCAUGCAGGUCAGCCUUGAGGGGCCUGUUUAUAACUGUUCUCCAAAUAUCUCCAGUGACAAUUCUGCACAGCCCUUACUUGUACGUUCUGCCUUUCCUAGCUGUUCUCAUGGAUUGUGCAGAAGUGCCACAUGGAUGCAUAUUUGUCCAUCUCCAGUCAGGACUAUGACAAAGCCAGAUUUUUCCCCUACUUUUUAUUAAAAACAAAAACCUUGCCCUAAUGAAGGUUAACAGAGACUUAUUGUGCCUCUGGCUAUUCUGCAGUAUAUAAAGCACAUCAGUGAAGCAUUAGAGCCAGCUGUUGAUUAACCUGAUAGACCUGGAUUUGACCAUCUGUAACUGUGAUCCGUUUGUUGAGGCAGUUUGGAAAUAGGCAGUGCCUACCCAUGCUGGGUUGUCACAGAACUCCAGGUUCUGCAAGUAAGGGCUCAGUUUGCCACUUUGUUCAGGGCUGACUUCAGUAAUUCAGUACAAAGUUCUGCCUCUUUUUCCUCCAGGAUGCUUUCCCUACCCCCUUUCCCUCAGGCUUGGUUUGGGCCUGUUCUGGUGUUACCUAAGCAAAGUGUGUAUUAAAGGGUGGAGGUGUCAAAUGUGACAGAACGGGGUGCUGGGGAACUGCUUUGCAUUGAGGCUUCCUACAGAUACUCAAUCCUAGGGUUAGAGGAUGAGUUGACAAAAUAAAAAGGAGUUGUACCUAAACAAAUGGGUAAGGGUUGAACUUUGCUCCUGUUAUACUUCAUUAUUUUUGUAAUAGGCUUUCUUUCUGCUCAAUCCUUUCUUCAUUUCUUUCUGCCACUCACAACAGAGCUGCCACCUCCACCCUCUCUCCCUCUAUGAAAGCUUAAUGUCACCUAAAUUUUUACAAAUGUAACAAAAUCAAAAUCUGUACAAUGUGAGCACUUUUUGAGAAGUGCCUUUAAAUGUCUGUCUUCACUUCCUUUGUGCUUUUCAUUUGUUCCCUACCAUGGCACUGUGCUGUCACAGUGCCAGCAGUGCAGUGCAGUUUGCUUUCUUGAGCCCUUUGGUGGCCCCAGCCUGGAGAGAACUCAGCAUGAGUGGGAGCUGCUUACAGGGCAGUCAUGGAAUGCCAGGGACACCUCCCUUUUUCUUCAAGAUAUGUCCAAGUUCUCUUCACAGCACUUCAAACAUGAGAAGGACAAUUGUAAUCAACAGGCCAAUCCUUGCUUUUAUCCCCUUGGUCUCAGUUCCUUUCUUUUAUUAUUAGCCAAGACAAAAAGGUUACACGGUGGGAUGUUGUAGCAGAUUUGUUCAACUUGCAUUGUCCUCUCAGUGAACCUGCACAGUUGCCAAACUGUUUCCUUUACCUAAACUCCAGUUAUUCAGGUUGGUUUCUCCAGCCUGAGAAAAGUGAGGUGCAGACAGUCCUGUCUGCUCUUCUGCAACAAGCAAGAGUCUCUUGGGUCUUUUAAAACCAAAAAUCACUCAGAGAGGUGCUUGGGAUUGUGCUUCUCCAGCUUAAAGCUGGACUCGACUAAGGAAACAGAUCCAGCUUAGAUUUGCUCACUACAUUGCAUAAUUAAGUCUUUAUACAUG